Molecule: transfer RNA, 91 nt
Filed under: Candidatus Fermentibacterota bacterium
Lineage: Bacteria; Pseudomonadati; Candidatus Fermentibacterota
Description: Candidatus Fermentibacteria bacterium tRNA-Ser
Rfam family: tRNA
About the family: Transfer RNA (tRNA) molecules are approximately 80 nucleotides in length. Their secondary structure includes four short double-helical elements and three loops (D, anti-codon, and T loops).
Source: RNAcentral
GGAGGGGUGCCGGAGCGGUUGAACGGGGCGGUCUCGAAAACCGUUGUCCUCUUUAAGGGGACCGUGGGUUCGAAUCCCACCUCCUCCGCCA